Molecule: ribosomal RNA, 868 nt
Filed under: uncultured bacterium
Lineage: Bacteria
Description: bacterial SSU rRNA
Rfam family: Bacterial small subunit ribosomal RNA
Source: RNAcentral
CUCAACCAUACUCACAUUAUUCGAACUGCUAAGCUAGAGGACGAGAGAGGUUAUUGGAAUUCCCAGUGUAGGAGUGAAAUCCGCAGAUAUUGGGAGGAACACCGAUGGCGUAGGCAGAUAACUGGCUCGUUCCUGACACUAAGGCACGAAAGCGUGGGGAGCAAACGGGAUUAGAUACCCCGGUAGUCCACGCCGUAAACUAUGGAUGCUAGCUGUUAGAGGUAUCGACCCCUCUAGUAGCGAAGCUAACGCGUUAAGCAUCCCGCCUGUGGAGUACGGUCGCAAGACUAAAACAUAAAGGAAUUGACGGGGACCCGCACAAGCGGUGGAGCGUGUUGUUUAAUUCGAUGGUAAGCGAAGAACCUUACCCAGGCUUGACAUCCUUGGAAGGCUUCCGAAAGGAAACUGUGCCCUCGGGAACCAAGUGACAGGUGAUGCAUGGCCGUCGUCAGCUCGUGUCGUGAGAUGUUUGGUUAAGUCCAUCAACGAGCGCAACCCUUAUAGUUAGUUGAAUUUUUCUAGCUAGACUGCCCUGGUAACAGGGAGGAAGGAGGGGAUGAUGUCAGGUCAGUAUUUCCCUUACGUCUGGGGCUACAAACACGCUACAAUGGCCGGUACAAAGGGCAGCCAAGUCGCGAGACGGAGCAAAUCCCAUCAAAGCCGGUCCCAGUUCGGAUUGCAGGCUGAAACUCGCCUGCAUGAAGUCGGAAUCGCUAGUAAUGGUAGGUCAGCACACUACCGUGAAUACGUUCCCGGGUCUUGUACACACCGCCCGUCAAACCAUGAAAGUCGCCAAUACCCGACGUCCGAGCUUUGCCUCGGCCUAAGGUAGGGGAGAUGAUUGGGGUUAAGUCGUAACAAGGUAACC